This 325-nucleotide long non-coding RNA is filed under the name Ananas comosus (pineapple). RNAcentral's name for it is "long non-coding RNA (ACOM_LNC037715)". The record is from RNAcentral. Lineage: Eukaryota; Viridiplantae; Streptophyta; Magnoliopsida; Poales; Bromeliaceae.
UCCUAUAAAAAGUAUUUAAUUUGCCAAAUAAUUUUUUAAAAUUUUACUUUGUCAACUAAUUAAUCCUCCUUCUGCCAACAAAAAUGAGAAAUAUAGCGAAUCGUUCAUCGCCUUUAGAAAGUGGUAAAUCAUUCACCGUUUUCAAAUUUUUUAUCCUUUUUGGUACAAGUUGUGAGGAUUUUUGUGAAUUUGGUAGGAUUAUAUAUAUGAAUUAUUAUAUAGAUUUUUGUUUAGUUGUUAGACUUAUAUAAUUAAGCAUAUUAUUAGGAUUUUUUGUAUUGUUGGAAUUAUAUUUGAUUUGUUGAAUUUUUAAUAUGGCUAUUUA